RNAcentral lists this ribosomal RNA (502 nucleotides) under uncultured archaeon. RNAcentral's name for it is "bacterial SSU rRNA". It matches the Rfam family "Archaeal small subunit ribosomal RNA", at positions 845 to 1346 of the family's 1478-position model. The record is from RNAcentral.
AAGGCUGAAACUUAAAGGAAUUGGCGGGGGAGUACCACAACCGGUGGAGCCUGCGGUUUAAUUGGAUACAACGCCGGGAAUCUUACCGGAGGGGACAGCAGUAUGAAGGCCAGGCUAAAGACCUUGCCAGAUCAGCUGAGAGGAGGUGCAUGGCCGUCGCCAGUUCGUACCGUGAGGCAUCCUGUUUAGUCAGGCAACGAUCGAGACCCGCAGUCUUACUUGCCAGCAUGCCCUUUGGGGUGUAUGGGUACAAUAAGACGACCGCCAGCGCUAAGCUGGAGGAAGGAGCGGGCUACGGUAGGUCAGCAUGCCCCGAAUCCUCCGGGAUACACGCGGGCUACAAUGGUCAGGACAAAAGGUACCGGCCUCGAAAGAGUGAGGUAAUCCACAAACCUGAUCUCAGUCCGGAUCGAAGGCUGCAACUCGCCUUCGUGAAGAUGGAAUCGGUAGUAAUCGUGACUCAAAAUGUCACGGUGAAUAUGUCCCUGCUCCUUGCACACAC